Long non-coding RNA from Sebastes umbrosus (honeycomb rockfish), 264 nucleotides. RefSeq lists it as uncharacterized. The record is from RefSeq and is a predicted model, not a curated record. NCBI's taxonomy places the organism in Eukaryota, Metazoa, Chordata, Actinopteri, Perciformes, Sebastidae. The transcript has 3 exons.
UAAUCCCGGUGUGACUCCCGCUCCACCUGGCAGUCUUCCAGCCCCAACCCCCAAAGCGCCUCCUUGACCAAAUGAACCUCCUGCAGCUCCACCUGGUUAAGAAAACUAACAGAGAUUACUGCAUUGCUCGAUCCUAUGUACCUGUUUUUGGUGAUACGAGAGGGUAACCACGGAAAACCCCAGGCAACUGCUGUCCACGGCCAUCUAAGGUCCUCCCCCAGUCGUGCCAGUCUGUGGCAGCAUUGGAACUGAAACAGGAAUGAA